RNAcentral lists this ribosomal RNA (236 nucleotides) under uncultured bacterium. RNAcentral describes it as "partial 16S ribosomal RNA". It matches the Rfam family "Bacterial small subunit ribosomal RNA", at positions 99 to 334 of the family's 1533-position model. The record is from RNAcentral.
CGAACGGGUGAGUAACACGUGAGAAACCUGCCCCGGAGAUCGGGAUAGCCCAGGGAAACCUGGAUUAAUACCGAAUACCCUCGAAUGGUCGCAUGUCCGAUCGAGGAAAUGGUCCGCUGCUCCGGGAUGGUCUCGCGUCCUAUCAGCUAGUUGGUGAGGUAACGGCUCACCAAGGCAACGACGGGUAGCUGGUCUGAGAGGACGAUCAGCCACACUGGGACUGAGACACGGCCCAG